GAUGAACGCUGGCGGCGUGCCUAAUACAUGCAAGUCGAGCGAACAGAUAAGGAGCUUGCUCCUUUGACGUUAGCGGCGGACGGGUGAGUAACACGUGGGUAACCUACCUAUAAGACUGGGAUAACUUCGGGAAACCGGAGCUAAUACCGGAUAACAUUUGGAACCGCAUGGUUCUAAAGUGAAAGAUGGUUUUGCUAUCACUUAUAGAUGGACCCGCGCCGUAUUAGCUAGUUGGUAAGGUAACGGCUUACCAAGGCGACGAUACGUAGCCGACCUGAGAGGGUGAUCGGCCACACUGGAACUGAAACACGGUCCAGACUCCUACGGGAGGCAGCAGUAGGGAAUCUUCCGCAAUGGGCGAAAGCCUGACGGAGCAACGCCGCGUGAGUGAUGAAGGGUUUCGGCUCGUAAAACUCUGUUAUUAGGGAAGAACAAAUGUGUAAGUAACUGUGCACGUCUUGACGGUACCUAAUCAGAAAGCCACGGCUAACUACGUG
RNAcentral lists this ribosomal RNA (497 nucleotides) under uncultured bacterium. RNAcentral's name for it is "partial 16S ribosomal RNA". It matches the Rfam family "Bacterial small subunit ribosomal RNA", at positions 28 to 507 of the family's 1533-position model. The record is from RNAcentral.